ACGGACGUGCCGCGUUCGCGGAGGCGGUCCGCCUGUUUCGACCGGGCGGCCUUGUCCGAGGUCAUGAAGAUGGUUCGGUUCGACCGUUCGCG
RNAcentral lists this transfer RNA (92 nucleotides) under Pseudodesulfovibrio portus. RNAcentral describes it as "tRNA-Arg". The record is from RNAcentral. Lineage: Bacteria; Pseudomonadati; Thermodesulfobacteriota; Desulfovibrionia; Desulfovibrionales; Desulfovibrionaceae.